Molecule: ribosomal RNA, 439 nt
Filed under: uncultured bacterium
Lineage: Bacteria
Description: partial 16S ribosomal RNA
Rfam family: Bacterial small subunit ribosomal RNA
Source: RNAcentral
CUACGGGUGGCUGCAGUGAGGAAUAUUGCACAAUGGGGGGAACCCUGAUGCAGCAACGCCGCGUGGAGGAUGACGCAUUUCGGUGUGUAAACUCCCUUUAUAUGUCAAGAAAAUGACGGUAGCAUAUGAAUAAGCACCGGCUAACUCCAUGCCAGCAGCCGCGGUAAUACGGAGGGUGCAAGCGUUACUCGGAAUCACUGGGCGUAAAGGACGCGUAGGCGGGUUGGAAAGUCAGGUGUGAAAUCCUACAGCUUAACUGUAGAACUGCACUUGAAACUUCUAAUCUAGAGUAUGGGAGGGGGAGAUGGAAUUAGUGGUGUAGGGGUAAAAUCCGUAGAUAUCACUAGGAAUACCUAAAGCGAAGGCGAUCUCCUGGAGCAUUACUGACGCUAAGGCGUGAAAGCGUGGGGAGCAAACAGGAUUAGAUACCCCCGUAGUC